Molecule: unclassified non-coding RNA, 150 nt
Filed under: uncultured Punctelia
Lineage: Eukaryota; Fungi; Ascomycota; Lecanoromycetes; Lecanorales; Parmeliaceae
Description: sequence contains ITS2
Source: RNAcentral
CACCCCUCAAGCGUAGCUUGGUAUUGGGCCUUCGCCCCCGCGGCGUGCCCGAAAAGCAGUGGCGGUCCGGUGUGACUUUAAGCGUAGUAAAUUCUCUCCCGCUUUGAAAGCUCACGCCGUGACCGGCCAGACAACCCCAUUAGCUUCAAU